GAUGAACGCUGGCGGCGUGCCUAAUACAUGCAAGUCGAGCGAACAGACGAGGAGCUUGCUCCUCUGACGUUAGCGGCGGACGGGUGAGUAACACGUGGAUAACCUACCUAUAAGACUGGGAUAACUUCGGGAAACCGGAGCUAAUACCGGAUAACAUGUUGAACCGCAUGGUUCAACAGUGAAAGACGGUCUUGCUGUCACUUAUAGAUGGAUCCGCGCCGCAUUAGCUAGUUGGUAAGGUAACGGCUUACCAAGGCAACGAUGCGUAGCCGACCUGAGAGGGUGAUCGGCCACACUGGAACUGAGACACGGUCCAGACUCCUACGGGAGGCAGCAGUAGGGAAUCUUCCGCAAUGGGCGAAAGCCUGACGGAGCAACGCCGCGUGAGUGAAGAAGGUCUUCGGAUCGUAAAACUCUGUUAUUAGGGAAGAACAAAUGUGUAAGUAACUAUGCACGUCUUGACGGUACCUAAUCAGAAAGCCACGGCUAACUACGUGCCAGCAGCCGCGGUAAUACGUAGGUGGCAAGCGUUAUCCGGAAUUAUUGGGCGUAAAGCGCGCGUAGGCGGUUUUUUAGUCUGAUGUGAAAGCCCACGGCUCAACCGUGGGAGGGUCAUUGGAAACUGGAAAACUUGAGUGCAGAAGAGGAAAGUGGAAUUCCAUGUGUAGCGGUGAAAUGCGCAGAGAUAUGGAGGAACACCAGUGGCGAAGGCGACUUUCUGGUCUGUAACUGACGCUGAUGUGCGAAAGCGUGGGGAUCAAACAGGAUUAGAUACCCUGGUAGUCCACGCCGUAAACGAUGAGUGCUAAGUGUUAGGGGGUUUCCGCCCCUUAGUGCUGCAGCUAACUCAUUAAGCACUCCGCCUGGGGAGUACGACCGCGAGGUUGAAACUCAGAGGAAUUGACGGGGCACCCGCACAAGCGGUGGAGCAUGUGGUUUUAUUCGAAGCAACGCGAACAACCUCACCCAAUCUCGACAUCCUCUGACCCCUCUAGAGAUAGAGUCUCCCCCUGCGGGGGACAGAGUGACAGGUGAUGCAUGGUUGUCGCCAGCUCGUGUCGUGAUAGGUUGGGUUUAGUCCCGCAACGAGCGCAACCCUUAAGCUUGCUUGCCAUCAUUUAGCUGGCCACUCUAACUGGACUGUCACUGACCAACCGAAGGAAGGUGGACAUCACCUUCAAAUCGUCCCUGUCCCUUUUGAUUUGGGCCCACCCUAUGCUGCAAAGUGAAAUGGAAAGGGAAACCCAAAACCGCCAGCACAACCCAAACACAUGAUCCUUUUCCUAAAUGGAGAUCGGAAGCUCCACACUCGUGUCCCUUGA
This 1322-nucleotide ribosomal RNA is filed under the name uncultured bacterium. Its description in RNAcentral is "bacterial SSU rRNA". It matches the Rfam family "Bacterial small subunit ribosomal RNA", at positions 28 to 1324 of the family's 1533-position model. The record is from RNAcentral.